RNAcentral lists this long non-coding RNA (949 nucleotides) under Homo sapiens (human). RNAcentral describes it as "colorectal neoplasia differentially expressed, transcript variant 5 (CRNDE)". The record is from RNAcentral. Lineage: Eukaryota; Metazoa; Chordata; Mammalia; Primates; Hominidae.
GCAGCCGCAGCCCCUGGCGCUAACGGUCGGUAACGGCCCGCGCGCGCCGCCCGCCGGGGGCUCGCGCCAGCCACGAGGGAGCGUCCGCGGCCCGCGCGCCCGCGCGGCGGAGGAGAGGUGAGCCCCCGCCCGGGCCAGGCCCUCUGGCCGCGCCGUCCGCCCCUCUAGUCGUGUCCCCUCGUGGGCCGAACGGACGCGGCGGUGCCCCGCGCCCGACCAGACGUCCCGUGGGCUAGGGCCUGGGCCUCGGGCCGCGUCGGCGCCGGUCGAGCCUCUCCGGGUGUCGGGGUUCGGGGCGGGCGCGCGUGGGCGUGGCUCCUCUGUCCACGCCUGUUCCCUUCGUCGCCGCGGCUCUCGUCCGGGACACGGCUUUCCGGAGUAGAGCCCUUGGAGGUGUUAAGUGUGAUGCUUCCAUAAUACAUUUGGAUGCUGUCAGCUAAGUUCACUUCUGAACUAAGGGGUUCCUCCAAAUGUUGGCUGAAAUUCAUCCCAAGGCUGGUCUGCAAAGUCUGCAAUUCAUAAUGGAGCUACUGUACUGGCUAUUGGAAGGAGGAGAUUCUGAAGAUAAGGAGGAUGCCACUGGAAAUGUUGAAAUGAAAAAUAUUCAGCCGUUGGUCUUUGAAAUUUCCUGUGAUGUGUUUCAAUCUAGAUGCAAAGAACAUGGAAAAAUCAAAGUGCUCGAGUGGUUUAAAUAUGUUUUGGGUAUUCCUGUUUAUAGACUAUAAUACUUUUCCAAUUAAAAUCCUCAGUUGUCACGCAGAAGAAGGUUAAGCUGUAUUUGAUUGCCAGUUUUACUGAAAAUGCUUAGUAUUUUACAGUAUCACCAAAUAUAUUUUGUUUAGCCAAGGUAUAGGAAAAAUAAAAUAAAUUGUAUAGGUUGACUUUUUUCUAAAAUGUCUUUAUUGGAUUGAAUGAAUGUUUAUACCUGAAAAAAAAAGGUUCAAAAAAA